AGAUCAUAAAGGCCAAUCUCUCUCCUUCAAGUGGACAACAUCAGCAAGAGGACACAAUGACCAGUCUCUCUCCUUCAUUGGCCACUAUCAACAUGAGGUCACAACGGCCAGCCUCUCUCUCUCCUUCAGGGAGGCAGCAUCCUUAUGAGGUCACAGUGGCCAGGAGAGGAGAGGAAAAAACCAGACCACAGCAAGCUGUGUGUGCAGAUGGUAGGUGCAAGUGUGGCCUGGCACCCCAAAGUCAAUGGUGAGCCUUCAAAGUGCAGUAACCGUCACAGGUUGAGGGCAGAGUACAGAGAAGAGAUGGACUAGGCAGCAACUGAUGGGCAAAGCAGCAGUAGAACAGCUGAGAGGAGACUACAGAAGAAGAGAGGAAGGAUAGGAGGAAGCACCCAGCACUUGGAGGGGAAGAGAGAAGGUUUCAGCAACACACUUGUGCAUGCAGUGACAUCUAGUGACAAAGAACACAAAUGGGACUCAGGGAAAUUUCGGUGGAGAAUUAUUAUCUAUGAUUUUUUUAAAAAGCCAAAAUUCAACUAUAAUCUCUCUCUCUC
Podarcis raffonei (Aeolian wall lizard) is the source of this 554-nucleotide long non-coding RNA. RefSeq lists it as uncharacterized. The record is from RefSeq and is a predicted model, not a curated record. NCBI's taxonomy places the organism in Eukaryota, Metazoa, Chordata, Lepidosauria, Squamata, Lacertidae. The transcript is spliced from 2 exons.